This 65-nucleotide transfer RNA is filed under the name Curculionoidea sp. 24 KM-2017. RNAcentral describes it as "tRNA-Asp". The record is from RNAcentral. Lineage: Eukaryota; Metazoa; Arthropoda; Insecta; Coleoptera.
AAAAAUUUAGUUUAAAAUUAAAACAUUAGUUUGUCAGGCUAAAUAUACUUUAUUUGUAAUUUUUU